CAGCCAGGAUGUUGGCUUAGAAGCAGCCAUCAUUUAAAGAAAGCGUAAUAGCUCACUGGUCGAGUCGGCCUGCGCGGAAGAUGUAACGGGGCUAAACCAUGCACCGAAGCUGCGGCAGCGACACGAUGUGUUGUUGGGUAGGGGAGCGUUCUGUAAGCCUGCGAAGGUGGCCUGUGAGGGUUGCUGGAGGUAUCAGAAGUGCGAAUGCUGACAUAAGUAACGAUAAAGCGGGUGAAAAGCCCGCUCGCCGGAAGACCAAGGGUUCCUGUCCAACGUUAAUCGGGGCAGGGUGAG
RNAcentral lists this ribosomal RNA (294 nucleotides) under Klebsiella quasipneumoniae subsp. quasipneumoniae. Its description in RNAcentral is "partial 23S ribosomal RNA". It matches the Rfam family "Bacterial large subunit ribosomal RNA", at positions 1090 to 1383 of the family's 2925-position model. Lineage: Bacteria; Pseudomonadati; Pseudomonadota; Gammaproteobacteria; Enterobacterales; Enterobacteriaceae. The record is from RNAcentral.